Molecule: ribosomal RNA, 485 nt
Filed under: uncultured bacterium
Lineage: Bacteria
Description: partial 16S ribosomal RNA
Rfam family: Bacterial small subunit ribosomal RNA
Source: RNAcentral
AUUGAACGCUGGCGGCAUGCCUUACACAUGCAAGUCGAACGGCAGCACGGGUGCUUGCACCUGGUGGCGAGUGGCGAACGGGUGAGUAAUACAUCGGAACAUGUCCUGUAGUGGGGGAUAGCCCGGCGAAAGCCGGAUUAAUACCGCAUACGAUCUACGGAUGAAAGCGGGGGACCUUCGGGCCUCGCGCUAUAGGGUUGGCCGAUGGCUGAUUAGCUAGUUGGUGGGUAAAGGCCUACCAAGGCGACGAUCAGUAGCUGGUCUGAGAGGACGACCAGCCACACUGGGACUGAGACACGGCCCAGACUCCUACGGGAGGCAGCAGUGGGGAAUUUUGGACAAAGGGCGAAAGCCUGAUCCAGCAAUGCCGCGUGUGUGAAGAAGGCCUUCGGGUUGUAAAGCACUUUUGUCCGGAAAGAAAUCCUUGGCCCUAAUACGGUCGGGGGAUGACGGUACCGGAAGAAUAAGCACCGGCUAACUACGUG